UGGGGAAUAUUGGACAAUGGGCGCAAGCCUGAUCCAGCAAUGCCGCGUGUGUGAAGAAGGCCUUCGGGCUGUAAAGCACUUUAAGCAGGGAAGAAAAAACUCGGUCUAAUACAUCGAGUCUUGACGGUACCUGAAGAAUAAGCACCGGCUAACUCUGUGCCAGCAGCCGCGGUAAUACAGAGGGUGCUAGCGUUAAUCGGAUUUACUGGGCGUAAAGCGUGUGUAGGUGGUUGUUCAAGUCAGUUGUGAAAUCCCUGGGCUUAACCUGGGAACUGCUUCUGAGACUGAACGACUAGAGUACGGUAGAGGGUGGUGGAAUUUCCGGUGUAGCGGUGAAAUGCGUAGAUAUCGGAAGGAACAUCAAUGGCGAAGGCAGCCACCUGGGCCUGUACUGACACUGAGACACGAAAGCGUGGGGAUCAAACAGGAUUAGAUACCCUGGUAGUCCACGCCGUAAACGAUGAGAACUUGACGUCGGUUUGCUCUGCAAGUCGGUGUCGUAGCUAACGCGAUAAGUUCUCCGCCUGGGGAGUACGGCCGC
Molecule: ribosomal RNA, 541 nt
Filed under: uncultured bacterium
Lineage: Bacteria
Description: partial 16S ribosomal RNA
Rfam family: Bacterial small subunit ribosomal RNA
Source: RNAcentral